RNAcentral lists this ribosomal RNA (242 nucleotides) under uncultured bacterium. RNAcentral describes it as "partial 16S ribosomal RNA". It matches the Rfam family "Bacterial small subunit ribosomal RNA", at positions 98 to 334 of the family's 1533-position model. The record is from RNAcentral.
GCGAAUGGGUGAGUAACACGUGGGUAACCUGCCCAAGAGAUUGGAAUAACACCUGGAAACAGAUGCUAAUACCGAAUAACAACAAGAGACGCAUGUCUCGAGUUUGAAAGAUGGGUUUUCUAUCACUCUUGGAUGGACCUGCGCUGCAUUAGCUAGUUGGUAAGGUAACGGCUUACCAAGGCGAUGAUGCAUAGCCGAGUUGAGAGACUGAUCGGCCACAUUGGAACUGAGACACGGUCCAA